GACGGGCAAGGCGAAGCCGAAGAAGCACACGGCCAAGGAGAUCGCGGCGAAGAUCGACGCGGCGACGACCAACCGCGGCGGGGGCAAGGCGGGGCAGAAGGACCGGCUCGGGCAGGAGAAGGGCGGCCACGCCAAGAUGGAGUGCCCGCUCUGCAAGGUGACGGCCCCCGACGUCAAGUCGAUGCAGAUCCACCACGAGGCGCGCCACCCCAAGCUCCCCUUCGACCCGGACAAGAUCAACAACCUGCACGGCUCCACCGCCGCCGCCGCGCCCGCCGCAGCGGCCGCCGUCGCGUCCUCCUCCAAGCCCAAGCCCGGCGUCCGCGGCAGCCUCAAGAAGACGGGGUAAUCUAAACCCCCUCCUCUCACACCCUCUACAGUCCGAUCUGCCUUGGUCGUCGCCUGCAUCUGCUGUCUUAAGUUUACUAUAUAUACUGCCG
RNAcentral lists this long non-coding RNA (440 nucleotides) under Hordeum vulgare. RNAcentral's name for it is "long non-coding RNA (HVUL_LNC020123)". The record is from RNAcentral. Lineage: Eukaryota; Viridiplantae; Streptophyta; Magnoliopsida; Poales; Poaceae.